Zingiber officinale is the source of this 969-nucleotide long non-coding RNA. RefSeq lists it as uncharacterized. The record is from RefSeq and is a predicted model, not a curated record. The transcript has 2 exons. NCBI's taxonomy places the organism in Eukaryota, Viridiplantae, Streptophyta, Magnoliopsida, Zingiberales, Zingiberaceae.
AGCAGAUACUAGAUAUCAUGGUUGUAUGCUUUGAUUGUUGUUUAUUUACGUAUUAUAUUGAACAUGCUGGCUUCAUGUAGCAUACCUAAUUUUCUGCUUAUAUUUGUAUGAUGACUGUUGCAUUUGGUGUAUCAUAUCAUGGCAGACAUGUCAACGAUCAAUUCUCCCUUGUGGUCGAGAGAGUCGUUGACCAGGGCCGCAUCCUCGGCCACUCGACAGAGUGAUAGCUGGAGUUGAUGUCGCUUGUCCUGUCGUGCUGCACUCGGCCACUUGCAGUUGGUGGUAGCUGGAGUUGCGAGCAGCAGGGACCCCCUUCGCUGUGUAGCUAGUUAGCUACUCAGCACAUGUCCAUCCGGUCACUUGAGAGAGUGGCAGCCUUUAAGUGGUAUAGUUGUCAUCGAUUCGACCUCUCGACCAUACAGGGGUCGUGGUGCAGAGAGGUGGGCGGGGUGACCAUCCGUGCAUACAUUGUUAUUAUACUUGCUUUGGCUGCUGCUGUUUGCAUAUGUUGUUGUUGUUUAUUCAUGUUGUUAUUGCUAACUUAUGCUGUUGUUGCUGACUUAUGCUGAUAUGCUUAUAUAUGUUGAGAUAUAUAUAUGUCUGUUGUGGGUGUUUAGACUGACUUACCUAUUGGAAGUUUGUAUAUUUGUAUAUACCUUACAUGUGUCCUCUGUUGUUAUGAGCAGUACUGUAGCAGAUUAGUACUACUUCUGAACUUCUAUAUCUAGCCUAGGAUAUGGUUUCAGGUAACAGGUAGAUGAGUCAUGAAUGCUUAGAGAGUUGUCGGCUGCCAGUUCUGGGUCCUACGUCACACUCGAGAAUAGUUUCUUUUUAGGUUUUGUUAUCGUUUGGGUGGUAUGUUGAUUUUGUGUAUUUUUGUUUUUCAAUAAGUUGUUGUGAAUUUUGGAGUCAAGUCUGGUUAUUGCAGGUAUUUCUAUUAGUACCGUUGUUGGUUUUAUGUUCGUAUUA